GGAGUUGUAGCCCAGUGGUAGGGCACUUGCCUAGCACGUGUGAAGCACUGGGUUCAAUCCUCAGCACCA
RNAcentral lists this transfer RNA (69 nucleotides) under Ictidomys tridecemlineatus (thirteen-lined ground squirrel). Its description in RNAcentral is "Spermophilus tridecemlineatus (thirteen-lined ground squirrel) tRNA". It matches the Rfam family "tRNA". From Rfam's summary of the family: Transfer RNA (tRNA) molecules are approximately 80 nucleotides in length. Their secondary structure includes four short double-helical elements and three loops (D, anti-codon, and T loops). Lineage: Eukaryota; Metazoa; Chordata; Mammalia; Rodentia; Sciuridae. The record is from Rfam by way of RNAcentral.